RNAcentral lists this ribosomal RNA (483 nucleotides) under uncultured bacterium. Its description in RNAcentral is "partial 16S ribosomal RNA". It matches the Rfam family "Bacterial small subunit ribosomal RNA", at positions 28 to 507 of the family's 1533-position model. The record is from RNAcentral.
GACGAACGCUGGCGGCGUGCUUAACACAUGCAAGUCGAACGCUGAAGCUCAGCUUUUGUUGGGUGGAUGAGUGGCGAACGGGUGAGUAACACGUGAGUAACCUGCCCCCUUCUUUGGGAUAACGCCCGGAAACGGGUGCUAAUACUGGAUAUUCACUGGUCUUCGCAUGGGGGUUGGUGGAAAGGGUUUUUCUGGUGGGGGAUGGGCUCGCGGCCUAUCAGCUUGUUGGUGGGGUGAUGGCCUACCAAGGCUUUGACGGGUAGCCGGCCUGAGAGGGUGACCGGGCACAGUGGGACUGAGAUACGGCCCAGACUCCUACGGGAGGCAGCAGUGGGGAAUAUUGCACAAUGGGCGCAAGCCUGAUGCAGCGACGCCGCGUGAGGGAUGGAGGCCUUCGGGUUGUGAACCUCUUUCGCUCAUGGUCAAGCCGCAACAAUGGUUGUGGUGAGGGUAGUGGGUAAAGAAGCGCCGGCUAACUACGUG